GCUCAAUGGUUUUUUAAAUUGCUGUAGUAUUUUGACUAUACAAAGGUAUUGAAAUAAGGUUUUAAUUGAAUGCUAAAAGAAUGGAAUAUCAAAGAAUAACUUUCUUAAAAUUAAAAAUUGAAAUUUUUUUAAUUUGUGUAAAAACAAUUAUAUAAAUUAAAGACAAGAAGACCCUAAGAAUUUUUAAAAUUUAAAUUAACACAUUUUUGUUUUAAUUAAAUUUUAACUGGGGCGGUUAAAAAAUAUUAAAAACUUUUUAAUUUUGAAAAUGACCCAUUAUUAAUGAAAAUAUGAUAAAAUACUCUAGGGAUAACAGCGUUAUAUUUUUUGAUAGAUCAUAUUGACAAAAAAGUUUGCGACCUCGAUGUUGGAUUAGGAUACUUUUUUAAUGAAGAUAUUAAAAUAAGAAGUUUGUUCAACUUUUAAAUUCCUACUUGAUCUGAUUCCAGACCGG
RNAcentral lists this ribosomal RNA (454 nucleotides) under Rhipicephalus microplus (southern cattle tick). Its description in RNAcentral is "partial 16S ribosomal RNA". The stretch from base 309 to 454 matches the Rfam family "Bacterial large subunit ribosomal RNA", at positions 2473 to 2619 of the family's 2925-position model. The record is from RNAcentral. Lineage: Eukaryota; Metazoa; Arthropoda; Arachnida; Ixodida; Ixodidae.